GAGAUUUCAUUCGCACUAGUGAUAGCUAGUUUCCCCGGAAAGACAUAAAAGUGUCGGGAAAAAUAUAAUUUAUAAUAUGGGUUAUUUUAUAUAUACAUGUAUUUUACUAAGUUUUUUGAGGAUAAGCUCAAAAAAAAGUUAAGAGUUUUUUUAAUCAACUUUGUUGUAUAGGCUUAAAAUUGGUCAUUACAAAAGUUUUUUAUAAAAUAACGAUUUCCGUUUCGUAAAUAAAUAUAAUUUAGACUAACUUUAUACGGGGAUAAGAACUUUAAUUUAAAAUAAGUUCUAUGCCUAUGCUAGAAUGAGUAUUAAAAUUUAAUUAUGAAGGAGGUUAGUCAUAUCCUCUUAAAAAAAAAUAAAAAAAAUAAAUUAAUUAGAAGGAACUCGGCAAAUUUGGUUGUUUHGCCUGUUUAUCAAAAACAUGGCUCUUUGAUUAUAUAAGUAUAGAGAGUCGGGCCUGCCC
RNAcentral lists this ribosomal RNA (463 nucleotides) under Semisulcospira habei. Its description in RNAcentral is "partial 16S ribosomal RNA". The record is from RNAcentral. Lineage: Eukaryota; Metazoa; Mollusca; Gastropoda; Semisulcospiridae.